Small nucleolar RNA from Pichia membranifaciens NRRL Y-2026, 356 nucleotides. It matches the Rfam family "Fungal small nucleolar RNA U3". Rfam says of the family: Small nucleolar RNAs (snoRNAs) are involved in the processing and modification of rRNA in the nucleolus. The record is from Rfam. NCBI's taxonomy places the organism in Eukaryota, Fungi, Ascomycota, Pichiomycetes, Pichiales, Pichiaceae.
GUCGACGUACUUCAUAGGAUCAUUUCUAUAGGAUUCGUCUCUCUUUGACUCUUCUAAAGAGCCACUGUUUCCAACUUGGUUGAUGAGAUAGAACCCCCAUACCCUCAAAGUGAGAAUAGUGUCUGGCAUGUCCAGCACCACCCUUCGGGGUGGUGUAUUGCCGGAUUAGUGAUCUGUCAUUACAGCUUUGCCUACGAUUCUUUGCAAUCUAGUCAUCUGGACGUUUCACGAACCACCUAUUCACUUUUUAUUCCUUUUUUCAUCAGGCAAACAAAGGAGCGAUGAUCUUUAUCUCGUGGUGUGUACUUCUUCGGAAUUGACACGUCGGGAUGGGAAUGGGUGGCUGUCUGACAAGU